This 484-nucleotide ribosomal RNA is filed under the name uncultured bacterium. RNAcentral's name for it is "partial 16S ribosomal RNA". It matches the Rfam family "Bacterial small subunit ribosomal RNA", at positions 28 to 507 of the family's 1533-position model. The record is from RNAcentral.
AUUGAACGCUGGCGGCAUGCUUUACACAUGCGAGUCGAACGGCAGCGCGGGCUUCGGCCUGGCGGCGAGUGGCGAACGGGUGAGUAAUGCAUCGGAACGUGCCCAGUAGUGGGGGAUAGCCCGGCGAAAGCCGGAUUAAUACCGCAUACGACCUGAGGGUGAAAGCGGGGGACCGAAAGGCCUCGCGCUAUUGGAGCGGCCGAUGUCGGAUUAGCUAGUUGGUGGGGUAAAGGCUUACCAAGGCGACGAUCCGUAGCUGGUCUGAGAGGACGACCAGCCACACUGGGACUGAGACAAGGCCCAGACUCCUACGGGAGGCAGCAGUGGGGAAUUUUGGACAAUGGGGGCAACCCUGAUCCAGCCAUGCCGCGUGCGGGAAGAAGGCCUUCGGGUUGUAAACCGCUUUUGUUCGGGAAGAAAUCCUCUGGGCUAAUACCCCGGGGGGAUGACGGUACCGGAAGAAUAAGCACCGGCUAACUACGUG